GUUGCCACGGAGACGGCCUAUUGCCCCCCCCCCAAGCAACUCCUCAAGGAGUUCCUGAAGGAAGUGUUACAGGCCCAAAUAAUUUCAACUGCUUCAUUAAGAGGCUUUCCUCCAUUAUAAGGUCAGAAGUUGGGAAGGUGCAAUCAUCAUCGAACAAUGUUCAGCACCAUUCACAACUCCUUCAAUACUAAAGCAUCUGUGUCCACAUGCAGCAAGACCUGGACAAUAUCUAACUAUGGCUGACAAGUGAUGCUGCCAGACCUGCUGAGCAUCUCCAGUAAGUUCUGUUUUUGUUUGAGAAAGUCCAUGGUGUACCACCUGUUGGGUGUCAAGGAAGCUUCGAGGAAAAGAAGGAAUUCACCAGGAGAAACACACUGCAAACUAAACUGAAAUUGGUAGUCUCCUGUAAUCUCACAGGCAGUGAGCAUGAUUUGAGAAAAGAGCAGUCUGGGUGACAUGCACGUUUUUAUAUUCUUCUUUCAAGUGUACACAAGAAGCGUGGUUAAAAGUCAAUUUCAACCCUUGUCUGCAGUUUCAAGUUUGUGAAGGUGUCUGCUCUGAGAGUUACAGCUGAGAAAACCACUAGUCAUCCUUGCACUGCAAGGAAAAAGAGAGGAAGUCUCUAUCUCUGCUUGAAGUCAGAAAGCAAGUGAGACUGCAUUCAAAAGGAAACAGGACGAAGGCCUUUCAGCUGACCUGCUCACCUACCAACAUCAGCGGUAUUUGUAUCACCCAAUGUAAUGGUUGCGACAUCUCAUCGUCUUCUCAUUAUGAAACUCAGAGACUGAUCCAUAAGUCUGUUAAAGUUUUUUACUUUUUUGAACAUGUCUCUCAUUUCUGUUCUGUGUAUAUGUUUCCUUCUUUAUUCUUCUUAUGUUUAAUAAUUAAUUAAGUCACUCAUUUAGCUCAAGAAAGCACUGUAAAAUUGGCUCCUUUUAAAGUAUAAGUUCACUUUGUCUGGGAGACAAGCAUCCACAAAAGAAAGAAUCCUUUAAAAAUUAACAUUGUUGUGACCAACUGAGGGAGUGGGUGAAUAUAAAAGAGGACCCUGUUCAUCCCUCCUCACCAGGAGUUUGACAAUUUGGAGCAUCCUAUCUAGAAUUUUUGUAAGAUGUGGUUCCUCACCUUGACUGAUUAUGUCAAUCCUAGCUCCUGAGAGCUAAGGGGUAAGCAAUGUGACUGUUUUUAUUGGGAGCAUUAAAAAUUAAAGGUAAAGGAAGCACGGUAUGUUAGUGAUGGCAACCUUGGAUUUUAAGUAUACUGUAUGGAUACAGCCAUCUGUUACAAAUAUUUAGACUACCCUCAUUCAACUGAUUCAUGAAUAACUCUCAGGUUUUUGACUCCAUUUUCCCAGUCAUUAUUCAUUAAAGCAUUCUCUUGGUGUCCCAACCAGUAUGUAUUCCUGAAACAACAUCACUGAAACCAAUUAUCUGAUCACUUAUCUCCUUACUGCUUGGAAGACUGUUCUGUAUUCAAAUUGACUGUUGUGCUUCCCCAUGUUACAACAGCAACUGGUUGCAUUUCAACAAAAAAAUGGCUUGGGACAUCCUGAGGUGGUGCACAUUCCUUCUUUCAGAUAUUUGUCAGUAAGAUUAUCUUUUCCCCAUGUGAAAUUAUAAUGAUACAUUUCAAGGUGGUAUGGACUAAACAAACUUGAUAUCUUUUUAUUUCACUUAGCGUUACUUGGCCCUGAGCAAAAGGAGAAGAGGUACUUGAGGAUUCUUACUGUAAAUCUAUAAUCUGUAGGUAUGAGAUCAAUAUCUGUGCCAGGUGCUGAAAAGAAAGAGAAUGCAGAAAUUAUUUCUACAAAGACAGAUGUAGUAAAGUGCACAAAAUUACAAUAAAUAGAUAAUCUCUA
Long non-coding RNA from Rhincodon typus (whale shark), 1858 nucleotides. RefSeq lists it as uncharacterized. The record is from RefSeq and is a predicted model, not a curated record. The transcript is spliced from 3 exons. Lineage: Eukaryota; Metazoa; Chordata; Chondrichthyes; Orectolobiformes; Rhincodontidae.